Molecule: ribosomal RNA, 253 nt
Filed under: uncultured bacterium
Lineage: Bacteria
Description: partial 16S ribosomal RNA
Rfam family: Bacterial small subunit ribosomal RNA
Source: RNAcentral
UACGAAGGGGGCUAGCGUUGUUCGGAAUCACUGGGCGUAAAGGGCGCGUAGGCGGCUUUGUAAGUCGGGGGUGAAAGCCUGUGGCUCAACCACAGAAUUGCCUUCGAUACUGCAUGGCUUGAGACCGGAAGAGGUAAGUGGAACUGCGAAUGUAGAGGUGAAAUUCGUAGAUAUUCGCAAGAACACCAGUGGCGAAGGCGGCUUACUGGUCCGGUUCUGACGCUGAGGCGCGAAAGCGUGGGGAGCAAACAGG